CAGCCGCCACGGGAAUACAGAGGGUGCGAGCGUUAAUCGGAUUUACUAAGCGUAAAGCGUGCGUAGGCGGCUUCUUAAGUCGGAUGUGAAAUCCCUGAGCUUAACUUAGGAAUUGCAUUCGAUACUGGGAAGCUAGAGUAUGGGAGAGGAUGGUAGAAUUCCAGGUGUAGCGGUGAAAUGCGUAGAGAUCUGGAGGAAUACCAGUGGCGAAGGCGGCUCACUGGACCAUUACUGACGCUGAGGUGCGAAAGCGUGGGGAGCAAACAGGAUUAGAUACCCCAGUAGUCCCUGUCUCUUAUAC
Molecule: ribosomal RNA, 301 nt
Filed under: uncultured bacterium
Lineage: Bacteria
Description: partial 16S ribosomal RNA
Rfam family: Bacterial small subunit ribosomal RNA
Source: RNAcentral